CACGUAAAGAACCUACCUUAUAGACAGGGACAACUAUUGGAAACGAUAGCUAAUACCUGAUAAGAAAGAAACUCGCAUGAGAGAAGUUCGAAAGUCGGAGCAAUCUGACACUAUAAGAUGGCUUUGCGGUGCAUUAGCUAGUUGGUAGGGUAAAAGCCUACCAAGGCGACGAUGCAUAGCCGACCUGAGAGGGUGAUCGGCCACAUUGGGACUGAGACACGGCCCAGACUCCUACGGGAGGCAGCAGUG
This 249-nucleotide ribosomal RNA is filed under the name uncultured Gemella sp. RNAcentral describes it as "partial 16S ribosomal RNA". It matches the Rfam family "Bacterial small subunit ribosomal RNA", at positions 114 to 356 of the family's 1533-position model. Lineage: Bacteria; Bacillati; Bacillota; Bacilli; Caryophanales; Gemellaceae. The record is from RNAcentral.